AUGAUUCCCAGGCUGCAUGUGGUUCCAGGGAAGAAGGCCACCGCUUUUGGACUCAUGUCUCCAAAGAUACACAGGAGACGACUAGCAGCUCAAGAUCUCUCUCAGGACCCAAAAAUUCUGUACCCUUCUCUUACUGGACCACGGAUAAAUGUUUCAGAUGCAACAGCGCAAGCUGAAACAGAGAGACCACCAUCCAGAUCAUCCACACCUCCUCCACUUCAAGCCAAUGGCAUCCUUCACUCAGGAAUUAUGUGUCUUACAGGGUUGGAAGAGUUGGUCCUAAAGAGUUUGCCACCGCCAAAGUGGAGUUCACACCAAAGCUGCCAGGACAAAGAAAAAUACUGACAGAUUUUGCCAGCGAUAAACUUCACAGUAGUGAGACCUUUAAGAAUCUCGUCAUCUAUGAAUAAAUGAGCAGUUUAUAUAAUGCUUGUGAUGUCUUAUGGUAAUGUUUUUUAUUUCUUUUUUUAUUUUGGCACUUUUUACAUUUUCAGAAACAUGCAUGACAAAACUUGAAUAUGAAGCAAUAUCCUUCCAUAAUGCCACUUUUAGUGCAAAAAAUAUUUUGUACUGUCAUGACUGUACUGUAGAUUCAUGAUUUUUACUGUAAACACAGAGAAAAUUAUUUGGCUUUACAAAUAGAAGUGCGGUUGGAAUACAUUGCCAUACAUGUGGAUGCCUGAUGUGCAUUUCUCAUAUUAGAAAAACAGAAUUUGAAUCCUGCAUUAAUGCAAAACAAGCCACAAUCAGUCCCACCUUCAGCUGGAGUGAAGCUGCCAUCUGCCAACUGUGCUUUGGGUGUUUCAGUGUAGAGUGAGUGAAAACCAAAGAACACCACUUUCUUGUGAGGAAACAUUCUUUAAAACUUUUUUUACACUUAUUUUCUUCUACAGCUCUUUCUCCAAUUUUUUUG
This is a long non-coding RNA of Cyprinus carpio carpio, 913 nucleotides long. Lineage: Eukaryota; Metazoa; Chordata; Actinopteri; Cypriniformes; Cyprinidae. The record is from Ensembl.